Molecule: small RNA, 108 nt
Filed under: Rhizobium sp. Leaf371
Lineage: Bacteria; Pseudomonadati; Pseudomonadota; Alphaproteobacteria; Hyphomicrobiales; Rhizobiaceae
Description: Rhizobiales sRNA Atu_At1
Rfam family: Rhizobiales sRNA Atu_At1
Source: Rfam by way of RNAcentral
UCGCAGGCCGUGUCAAGCGGACGUGAUGGGGAUGGAGAACAGAGGGAUUUUUCCGCUUUCUUCCUCUGGCCAACGAAAUGGCAGCCGAGCUUCCCACCCAUCCGGCCC